GUAAAGGUCUGUAGAUGUGUAAAGGUCUGCGUUAUCAUUGAAGGUGCGGUAUCAUAGAAGGGACCCAGAAGCUGGACUUGACAUUCCCUGUGGGUCCCUUCCAACUUGGGAUACUCCAUGAUUCUGUGAAGGUGCUGGCUACUUAUUUUCUGCUAUCUUAGAUAUUUUAAAAACUUUUGGACUGGCAACCUAGAAGCUGAAGAAAAAUUUCUCCUCUACUGAAAUAACAGAGUCAGAAGGAAUCACUUUCAGUGGGAUAUUUGUCCUCUUCAUUAUCAGAAAUGCCCUUCAGAAGAGGUUCUUCCUUAGAUUUUGAAGAUCAGAUCUGAUUCAAUAAGGUAGGGUAAGAGG
Molecule: long non-coding RNA, 351 nt
Filed under: Anas zonorhyncha (Eastern spot-billed duck)
Lineage: Eukaryota; Metazoa; Chordata; Aves; Anseriformes; Anatidae
Description: lncRNA (ENSAZOG00000000861.1)
Source: RNAcentral